CGGAUUGAAGGCUGAAAUUCGCCUUCAUGAAGCCGGAAUUGCUAGUAAUGGCAGGUCAGCAUACUGCCGUGAAUACGUUCCCGGGCCUUGUACACACCGCCCGUCACACCAUGAGAGUUGGAGAUACCCGAAGCCUGUGAGCUAACAAACGAGGCAGCAGUCGAAGGUAGAAUCAAUGAUUGGGGUGAAGUCGUAACAAGGUAUC
This 205-nucleotide ribosomal RNA is filed under the name uncultured bacterium. Its description in RNAcentral is "partial 16S ribosomal RNA". It matches the Rfam family "Bacterial small subunit ribosomal RNA", at positions 1294 to 1500 of the family's 1533-position model. The record is from RNAcentral.